Non-coding RNA from Pelobates cultripes (western spadefoot toad), 303 nucleotides. The record is from the annotation of a GenBank genome assembly. Lineage: Eukaryota; Metazoa; Chordata; Amphibia; Anura; Pelobatidae.
AUGCUAUGUCACAAGUUUAUAAUGAAGACGUGAUUCAAUUUGCUGUGUACCUCCAAUACAGUAUAGAUUAAAAUAAUUUGCAAUUUAGGUGGCUAUCGUCAAACAAUAUUGAAAAAGAUGAAACACCUACAGAAGUAUAAGAUGUGGGAACACAAGGAAUAUGUUAGAUGAACAUUUAGCAAAUCAAUCCUUUCACAUCUAACACCAUAUAUAGUGAAUUGUACAGUUUUUAAAAUUAAUUAAUAAUUGUUAAAAAUUUUAAAGAUUAUGGAAAUAGCCAUAUGACACAUAUACAAUACUUUU